UACGUAGGGUGCGAGCGUUGUCCGGAAUUAUUGGGCGUAAAGAGCUCGUAGGCGGUCUGUCACGUCGAUCGUGAAAACUUGGGGCUUAACCCUGAGCGUGCGGUCGAUACGGGCAUGACUUGAGUUCGGCAGGGGAGACUGGAAUUCCUGGUGUAGCGGUGAAAUGCGCAGAUAUCAGGAGGAACACCAAUGGCGAAGGCAGCUCGCUGGAACGGUACUGACGCUGAGGCGCGAAAGCGUGGGGAGCGAACAGG
Molecule: ribosomal RNA, 254 nt
Filed under: uncultured bacterium
Lineage: Bacteria
Description: partial 16S ribosomal RNA
Rfam family: Bacterial small subunit ribosomal RNA
Source: RNAcentral